UCGAUCUCAAAUCAAGUAAGACUACCCGCUGGACUU
Molecule: ribosomal RNA, 36 nt
Filed under: Gryganskiella cystojenkinii
Lineage: Eukaryota; Fungi; Mortierellomycota; Mortierellomycetes; Mortierellales; Mortierellaceae
Also listed under: 1 other name
Description: Mortierella cystojenkinii partial 28S ribosomal RNA
Source: RNAcentral